This is a long non-coding RNA of Alexandromys fortis (reed vole), 1358 nucleotides long. RefSeq lists it as uncharacterized. The transcript has 3 exons. Lineage: Eukaryota; Metazoa; Chordata; Mammalia; Rodentia; Cricetidae. The record is from RefSeq and is a predicted model, not a curated record.
GGGGACAAAGCCAGCUGUCCCAGGGAGGGAAGGGCAUGCUUAAGUCUUCCUCUCGCCUGGCCAGGAGAAACACGGCAAGAGCCACGGCGUGCAGACCAGGACUCAGUACACAAGUGUGAGCAUGUGUGAGAAGACCCUCAUCCUCACCAAUUAAAGAGCACCCGGUUGCCAAAACAUAACUCAGAGACACUUCUGAGACAUGACAGUGGCCAUGAUUAUACCGGACAGCAGGUGGCCCAGGAGGACUUGGACACAUGGGUCAUGAAGUUACCCACGCUGCAGAGGAGACAUGAAGUCGGGAGGGUGUGUGCAAUCCUGGCCUUGUGAUAUCCCUUGUUGGUGACUAAACACGGAAGCUCUCAAUGAAUUGAACCCUGUUUUGUGUCUCACUUGGCCCUGACUGCUCGCCACAAUAGAUGGGUCCAGAGUCUACAUCCAGCCAGGCCAAGCCAACCAUACCAGCUUCCGACCCAAUCAUCAGCUUCAUCAAAGCAAAUUGAUUUUAGGUGGAUAUUGACCAAUCUUGACCUGGUUUAAAUCCUUCAGGGUUACUUGAAAAGUGCUGAAGACACAUUUCCCAUCUUUCAAAAGAAGCCAUAACGUUCAGAAAGUCUACAUGUAUUUAUUCUCAAUGUCUGAGAAGUCUACAUCACCCUUACCUAAAAACUGUCAGUAUUUUCACAGAGAAAUCCAUUAGCAAUCUUCUUAUUAAAGCUUAGUUUCAUUAUUAUUUUACUUUAUACUCCCUGAAUAUUAAUGAGGAUGGAUUUCAUUCUGUGUUCAUAUUCCUUGUGCAUUUUAUAUUCCUUGUAUAUAUAUGUACAAUGCAUUUGAUGGUUUUAAUGUGAACAGUCUAUAAUCACAAAAAAAUAUUUUCAUCCUUAGACUUCACCUACAGGUUACUUCACAAAACACAUACUUAAACCAAGUAAUGGGGGAGUUAAAAAACAGAUACUGGAAAUGUGUACUAAGGAAGAGUUAACAAACCAAAUUUGAUAAUGCGUUCAAAAUAGAAUUCAAAAUGAGAAAAUAAGCAAAUGGAAUUUUUACUUUGAGCUUAAUAAGUGUAACAUUGUGCAAAAAAGUGUGUAAGGACAAAAGUUAGUGAGUCUUUAUAAGAUGUUAAUGAUCAUGUACAUACAGUAUAGUUUUGAAUCCAGAGAACAUACACUGCAGCAAUAGGAAGACAAUCCUGCGGAAAUUCUGUCACCAACAGAUGGGCCAGAGGGUCAGAGAGAGGAGCAGCAUAUUUUGCACACAACAAAGAAAGAAAACCACGCGUUUCCAAAGACUCACUGUGUCCUUAAUCAGGAAAGUUAACCAUGAGGAAGAAGCAAGAAAUGACCCCCAGUUCAGAG